CUAGAAACAAUGUGAAUGAAUGAACACCACAACAGCUUAAGCUGCAAACAAAAUGUUUUUCACUGCCAAAACUUUAGGCCACGACUGUAGACUACAGAGCCGUUUGUCCUAAAAUCUCCAUCCCUCAGUCUGGACACUUUCAAUCAUUUCUAUCAUUUGCUUAGUUUCAAUGGACGGAUCAGCAAUACCUUAUGUUCCUUCUUUUUGCGAGAAGAUUUCCCAUUUCACUGUCAGAUUCAAACACAUAUUCGAUAAUUUUCUUCUAUUUUCAUUAUUUCCAUUACCUCCGCUAUCCGCGCCAAACAUUUGAUGCUCCAUAAUUUCCGGGAUCUCCUGCACUUCUCUCCUGAGAACGCAUCAGUAUCAGUCAGUCCUGCUGUGAUACAGAUGUUGACCACAAGAGGAAGUCGGUGAUCACCUGUCAUUCGCCCGUCUAAUGUAACAAAUAGGGCUUUUUGUUUUAAGUAUGAAAUAUUUAAAGUAAGCUACAGGUUUAAAAACUCAGUAACCCAACUCUGAGUGAUUUUCUGUCUAUUGGUGGAUCAAUAAGAACGGCUCGUCUGGUGGAAACUGUGCAGUUCUCCUUCCACUCCACUGGGCGGCGUAAGCAUCUUUCACGUUCAAAAUGACACCUUGUCAUCUCCGUAAACAACAUGACACCUUCACGACAGUCGCCGCAAUACAUUUAUAUUGUUUUACCGUCAUAAAAGUAAAAUUUCUGCAGAUGACAGCUGAAUGACAGACUCAUAAUGUCACUUAACAGCACAUAUUUCAUCCCAACCGCAAAAACAACCGGCACGCGCUGCAAUAAAGUGAAGGAAUCGACUGUCGCGCGACUCACCUAUUAAGGGAUGUUUGGACCAUUACACCGCAACACAAGCAUGUGGACAGACAUUCACUGCACAUCUGUAAUGAUGCACAUCUGCUCAUGCACAGAAGAUGUUUGGAUGUUACACCGAGCCAACAGAAGCAUGUGGACAGACAUUGACAGUAAUGAUGGACAUCUGCAAGGUAAUGCUUGUAAUAUUUCAAUGUGUUGUUGGCUUGUAAAUGUGUAGUUUUUCAUUGUUAGUGAAUGCAGCUUCUAUUUUGACUAGUGUCUGCAUGUGUUCUUUACAUGACAUUUGUCUUUACAUAUCACGUCUCUAUACAUUAAACCUGGAGAUAUACUGUAUUUACUCCUUUGGCCUGCAAUAUGAAGGAUGCAUAUGAAGCCUGAUGUGGCAGCUGUUUUCCAAACCAAACUUUUGAAAAUCUCCAGUCGACUCAGA
Long non-coding RNA from Cyprinus carpio (common carp), 1271 nucleotides. RefSeq lists it as uncharacterized. The transcript has 3 exons. Lineage: Eukaryota; Metazoa; Chordata; Actinopteri; Cypriniformes; Cyprinidae. The record is from RefSeq and is a predicted model, not a curated record.